GAAACUGGGAAUGGGUUUAAAUAAUUAUCAGAAUUUUUAAACUUCAUCAGGGAAAUGUUUUCUUGAAAAGCUAGGAGCCCUGUAUAUUAGGAUUUCUCACAUUCUGUAUGCUUCAUACAGAAACCCCAAUGGACUUUAUAAUGGACAAUCAAUUUCAAUAUUUUUUUUGGUUUCAAUCAUAAUCUCCUUCAAGUGAUAGUUUCUCAAGUGUACUUGAGUUUUAAUGAGUUUUAAUGAGAUAUAUAUAGCUUCUUAUUCUUGAAAUAAAGUUUUACAUUCUCAUUUUUUUAUUGAUAAGUGAAGUGCCCCCCCCCCAAAAAACAGGCUCAAUUCCUAAGUUCAGUUUGAAGGUGAAAGUAUAACAGUAUUAAAUAAUCUGAAGGGUUUAGGGAGUGAGUAUAAUAUUUAGGAGUAAUUUAAUAUAUUUUAGGAGUAAGUGAAUAUAAUAUUUAGGUGAUUAUCUUUAUUUUUUCCAUUUUGAUGCCGAUUUCAUUGCUUAUUCUCAACUUUCUAUUGAAAUUAAUGUUAUUGUAUACAUGAGAGGAAAGUGAAUAUAUCACUCCUAGAUAGGAAAGAAGUGGGAAGUGCCUGGCUUUUAAAGUUUAAAUGCAGCCUCUGACCAACGUAGACAAGGGAUGAGCAAUAGUCAAGACAGCAUGUCUGACAGAAAAAGAAAAGAAUAGCAAAGUGAUAGUGAAAGGAUUGAAAAAGCUGAUGAAUAAAAGGGACAGUAGGACUCCCGGCCUGAAUUUCAUUGUCUCCCCUAUUGAUCUGUUUGCUGGAAAGUCCCUUGCAACAUUUACAUGUCGUGAUGAAUAGCCUAGCGCUACUUACACAGACAGUUGUCCUCUCUUGGCGAGCAAAUUCUCCCCAGGUCUUGAAACUGCUGGUCUGUGAAAUCGUUCCAGGACGUCAUCGUCGUCUUGCGCAACAGCACCAUGUUCGAUCGUGGCUCCGACGAGCUGAUGGCCGCUACGCCCAAUGGAACAACUACUAACGUCCUAGGAAGCCAAGAAGCAGGCUCGCCUAAUUCUAAUGACCAUGAUGCCAAGAAGG
Molecule: long non-coding RNA, 1056 nt
Organism: Lytechinus variegatus (green sea urchin)
Lineage: Eukaryota; Metazoa; Echinodermata; Echinoidea; Temnopleuroida; Toxopneustidae
Exons: 2
Source: RefSeq, a predicted model, not a curated record